Molecule: ribosomal RNA, 1017 nt
Filed under: uncultured bacterium
Lineage: Bacteria
Description: bacterial SSU rRNA
Rfam family: Bacterial small subunit ribosomal RNA
Source: RNAcentral
UGAGGAAUAUUGGUCAAUGGGCGCGAGCCUGAACCAGCCAAGUAGCGUGAAGGAUGAAGGUCCUACGGAUUGUAAACUUCUUUUAUACGGGAAUAAAGUGGUCCACGUGUGGGCUUUUGCAUGUACCGUAUGAAUAAGCAUCGGCUAACUCCGUGCCAGCAGCCGCGGUAAUACGGAGGAUGCGAGCGUUAUCCGGAUUUAUUGGGUUUAAAGGGAGCGCAGACGGGGGAUUAAGUCAGUUGUGAAAGUUUGCGGCUCAACCGUAAAAUUGCAGUUGAUACUGGUUCCCUUGAGUGCAGUUGAGGCAGGCGGAAUUCGUGGUGUAGCGGUGAAAUGCAUAGAUAUCACGAAGAACCCCGAUUGCGAAGGCAGCCUGCUAAGCUGUAACUGACGUUGAGGCUCGAAAGUGUGGGUAUCAAACAGGAUUAGAUACCCUGGUAGUCCACACGGUAAACGAUGGAUACUCGCUGUUGGCGAUAUACUGUCAGCGGCCAAGCGAAAGCAUUAAGUAUCCCACCUGGGGAGUACGCCGGCAACGGUGAAACUCAAAGGAAUUGACGGGGGCCCGCACAAGCGGAGGAACAUGUGGUUUAAUUCGAUGAUACGCGAGGAACCUUACCCGGGCUUAAAUUGCAGACGAAUUACCUGGAAACAGGUAAGCCGCAAGGCGUCUGUGAAGGUGCUGCAUGGUUGUCGUCAGCUCGUGCCGUGAGGUGUCGGCUUAAGUGCCAUAACGAGCGCAACCCUUGUUGUCAGUUACUAACAGGUCAUGCUGAGGACUCUGACAAGACUGCCAUCGUAAGAUGUGAGGAAGGUGGGGAUGACGUCAAAUCAGCACGGCCCUUACGUCCGGGGCUACACACGUGUUACAAUGGGGGGUACAGAGGGCCGCUACCACGCGAGUGGAUGCCAAUCCCCAAAACCUCUCUCAGUUCGGACUGGAGUCUGCAACCCGACUCCACGAAGCUGGAUUCGCUAGUAAUCGCGCAUCAGCCACGGCGCGGUGAAUACGUUCCC